RNAcentral lists this ribosomal RNA (481 nucleotides) under uncultured bacterium. RNAcentral describes it as "partial 16S ribosomal RNA". It matches the Rfam family "Bacterial small subunit ribosomal RNA", at positions 28 to 507 of the family's 1533-position model. The record is from RNAcentral.
GACGAACGCUGGCGGCGUGCUUAACACAUGCAAGUCGAACGCUGAAGCUCAGCUUGCUGGGUGGAUGAGUGGCGAACGGGUGAGUAACACGUGAGUAACCUGCCCCCUUCUUUGGGAUAACGCCCGGAAACGGGUGCUAAUACUGGAUAUUCACUGAUCUUCGCAUGGGGGUUGGUGGAAAGGUUUUUUCUGGUGGGGGAUGGGCUCGCGGCCUAUCAGCUUGUUGGUGGGGUGAUGGCCUACCAAGGCUUUGACGGGUAGGCGGCCUGAGAGGGUGACCGGUCACAUUGGGACUGAGAUACGGCCCAGACUCCUACGGGAGGCAGCAGUGGGGAAUAUUGCACAAUGGGCGAAAGCCUGAUGCAGCGACGCCGCGUGAGGGAUGGAGGCCUUCGGGUUGUAAACCUCUUUCGCUCAUGGUCAAGCCGCAACAUUGGUUGUGGUGAGGGUAGUGGGUAAAGAAGCGCCGGCUAACUACGUG